GCAAGUCGAACGGUAACAGGGGGAGCUUGCUCCCUGCUGACGAGUGGCGCACGGGUGCGUAACGCGUAUACAAUCUACCUUUUACAGGGGUAUAGCCUUUAGAAAUGAAGAUUAACACCCCAUGGUAAGUACCUAUGGCAUCAUAGGAACUUUAAAACUCCGGUGGUAAAAGAUGAGUAUGCGUUCUAUUAGCUAGAUGGUGUGGUAACGGCACACCAUGGCAACGAUAGAUAGGGGCCCUGAGAGGGGGAUC
Molecule: ribosomal RNA, 253 nt
Filed under: uncultured bacterium
Lineage: Bacteria
Description: partial 16S ribosomal RNA
Rfam family: Bacterial small subunit ribosomal RNA
Source: RNAcentral